Molecule: small nucleolar RNA, 80 nt
Organism: Cricetulus griseus (Chinese hamster)
Lineage: Eukaryota; Metazoa; Chordata; Mammalia; Rodentia; Cricetidae
Gene: Snord45c
Product: small nucleolar RNA SNORD45
Source: Ensembl
GGUCAGUGAUGAGCUGGCAUGUAUUCUGAAUCUGAAGCUGAUUAUCAACCACUUUAGCUCUAGAAUUACUCUGAGACCUG